This 421-nucleotide ribosomal RNA is filed under the name uncultured bacterium. RNAcentral's name for it is "SSU rRNA". It matches the Rfam family "Bacterial small subunit ribosomal RNA", at positions 369 to 808 of the family's 1533-position model. The record is from RNAcentral.
CAAUGGGGGAAGCCUGAUGCAGCGACGCCGCGUGGAGGAAGAAGGUUUUCGGAUUGUAAACUCCUGUCGUUAGGGACGAUAAUGACGGUACCUAACAAGAAAGCACCGGCUAACUACGUGCCAGCAGCCGCGGUAAUACGGAGGAUCCGAGCGUUAUCCGGAUUUAUUGGGUUUAAAGGGAGCGUAGGUGGAUUGUUAAGUCAGUUGUGAAAGUUUGCGGCUCAACCGUAAAAUUGCAGUUGAAACUGGCAGUCUUGAGUACAGUAGAGGUGGGCGGAAUUCGUGGUGUAGCGGUGAAAUGCUUAGAUAUCACGAAGAACUCCGAUUGCGAAGGCAGCUCACUAGACUGUCACUGACACUGAUGCUCGAAAGUGUGGGUAUCAAACAGGAUUAGAUACCCUGGUAGUCCAAGGGCGAAUUC